UAUUUUAAUAGCUUAUUUAGAGUAUAAUAUUGAAGAUAUUAAGGAAGUUUUAACUUUAGAAUGU
RNAcentral lists this transfer RNA (64 nucleotides) under Dilophotes sp. AQ LB-2014. Its description in RNAcentral is "tRNA-Phe". Lineage: Eukaryota; Metazoa; Arthropoda; Insecta; Coleoptera; Lycidae. The record is from RNAcentral.